UCCUGGACUAGCAGUUGCAUCCUCACGUGCAAAACCAUUAGCAGCUUGGAUGAAUGGCUUGGAAGUCUGUUCGAUUGAAGCUGAUGUGGACAAGGCUUCGUUAAUUUUGUCGGUGGGUAUCUCUACCCGCUACAUUUAUGCGACUUACAAGAAAAAAUCCUGUAUCCACAAGCGAAGCUGAAGCUUGGGAAGCAGCAAAGAAAGCCUGUGGAGGUUUGCACUUCCUUGCUAUUCAAAAUGACCUGAAUUCGGAUGAUUGUGUUGGAUUCUGGCUUCUGUUAGACCUGCCACCUCCUCCUGUAUAACUUGAUAAAUAGAAUACAAGGUUUUCCUUUGUACAUUCUCUUUUAUUUGCUCAUUUACAGAAUGCAGAGAGGCAUCAUAGCAAUUAGAUUGUAAUU
Molecule: long non-coding RNA, 401 nt
Organism: Solanum verrucosum
Lineage: Eukaryota; Viridiplantae; Streptophyta; Magnoliopsida; Solanales; Solanaceae
Exons: 2
Source: RefSeq, a predicted model, not a curated record